Molecule: RNA transcript, 2054 nt
Organism: Sardina pilchardus (European sardine)
Lineage: Eukaryota; Metazoa; Chordata; Actinopteri; Clupeiformes; Clupeidae
Gene: prkag3b
Gene name: protein kinase, AMP-activated, gamma 3b non-catalytic subunit
Exons: 13
Source: RefSeq, a predicted model, not a curated record
UUCCCUCUCUAAACACACACACACACACACACACACAGAUCCACAGUCGGAGAAUGCUGCUGUGGCCGUGCUGAAGACUCUUCCCGUGCGAGACAGAGAGAGAGAGAGAGAGAGAGAGAGAGAGAGACCUCCCCUCCCGUCGGCCCAGGAACACGCUGCCACAACAUGGAGCCACUAACAGAGGAACAUUUCAUGGAUGAAGGCCUUACCAUGAAGGACACAGAGCCUCCCCUCGAGCCCGGCGCCGACGUCUACAUGCGCUUCAUGCUGAGGCACUGUUGCUAUGACGCCAUCCCCACCAGCUCCAAGCUGGUCAUCUUCGACACAACGCUUCAGGUGAAGAAGGCCUUCUUUGCUCUGGUCGCUAAUGGCGUGAGAGCUGCUCCGCUGUGGGACAGCAAGUUGCAGAGCUUUGUAGGUAUGCUGACCAUCACAGACUUCAUAAACAUUCUCCACCGCUACUACAAGUCUCCCAUGGUACAGAUCUAUGAACUGGAGGAACACAAGAUCGAGACAUGGAGAGAGGUGUUUCUGCACUGCUCCAAUUCCAUCAUCAGCAUCGCACCUGACGCCAGCCUGUUCGAAGCCAUCUACUCUCUGCUGAAGAAUAAGAUCCACCGGCUGCCCGUCAUCGACCCCGAGUCAGGAAACGUCCUGCACAUCCUCACACACAAACGCAUCCUCAAGUUCCUGCACAUUUUCGGUUCCAUGAUCCCAAAGCCGAGGUUCCUGCAGAAGCGCAUCGAGGAGGUGGGGAUAGGAACGUUCAAAGAGAUCGCCACGGUCCAGGAGUCGGCCACCGUGCAUGACGCUCUGUCCAUCUUCGUCGAGCGGCGAGUAUCUGCUCUGCCUGUCGUCAAUGAGCAAGGGAAGGUGGUUGCCCUGUACUCCAGAUUUGAUGUGAUUAAUCUAGCGGCUCAGAAGACCUACAACAACCUGAACAUGACGAUGCGAGACGCCAUCGCUAGUCGCUCAUGCUGCAUGGAGGGCGUGCUCAAAUGCUACCCCUACGAGACGCUGGAGACCAUCAUUGACCGCAUCGCCAAGGCCGAGGUGCACCGGCUGGUGCUGGUGGAUCGGGAGGACAUAGUGAGGGGCAUCGUCUCCCUGUCGGACCUGCUGCAGGCGCUGGUGCUGACCCCGGCAGGUAUUGAUGCUCUGUUCUGUUAGCCCCUCCUCCCCGGGGGCUCCCUCACCCUCCCCACCUCCACCUCCACCUCCUGCACCACCACCACCACCGCCUCCUUCUCCUCCUCCUCCUCCUCCUCCUCCUACUAUUCCUCCUCCUCCUCCUCGUCUCCACUGACCCUCCCCACACCCAGAGAUUACAGAGAGAGCCAGUAUUGAGGCCUAAAAGGACGUCCUGGCUGCUGGAUGAAGAUGGUGUACACGUCUCCGAUUGCUCGGCUGGCUUCUCAAAAAGCCUAUUCUAAUGCUUGAUGAUAGGAACAGCUGGAAAUAUGUGCAUACUUUGUUUCCAGAGACAUUGUAUUUGUGUCAUAGUGUCAGUUUUUUAUGAUUCUAUUUAUUUUGUAUGAGAAUCCAAAUGAAAGGCUUCAAGAAGGAUUAGUGAUUAUCCUGUUGGAAGACUUCAAGACAAAUGAUGUUGAUGAUGAUGUUGUUUUGGUAUUUGUAUUCACGCUUUAAAUGUGUUUUGCCGUUGCAAGCAUCCCUGUGUGCAGAGAUGCAGAUAUGCCUGUUAGCCUAGUUUGACCAUGUAGAUGUAAUCAAACAAAAUGUUCAAAAAGCUUUUCACCACAGUGACCUUACUGUUAGAUUAUGGUGAUAACCAUGAAAUACUAUAUUUUUGCACAUGGACAAAGCCCAUGCUAGCCAAGGCUACUCUUAGUGGCAAGCAGACAGACAGGCCAGUGAUGUCAAAAUGUUUUUAACAAGUAACAGGCCUUAUCUUGCGGUGGGGUAGUAGGCCAGUCAAUCUAGCGUUUGACCCAUAACUAAUUGCAAUAGUAAUCAUUCAAAGUUUUUUGUGAUCCCUAGGUAUAUCUAAUUAACAUAUAAAAAAUCUACCCAUUUAUAUUUAGUGGAACAUACUU